AGCUUUGCGCGGUGGCAGUAUCGUAGCCAGUGAAGUUUAUCCGAAGCGCAAUUAUUGCUAAUUGAAAACUGAGUAGCUCAGUUCCCUAAAAGUAAAAAUUUGUUCUACCUCCAUGUUU
Molecule: small nuclear RNA, 118 nt
Filed under: Mus pahari (shrew mouse)
Lineage: Eukaryota; Metazoa; Chordata; Mammalia; Rodentia; Muridae
Description: predicted gene, 25177 (MGP_PahariEiJ_G0033401.1)
Rfam family: U4 spliceosomal RNA
About the family: U4 small nuclear RNA (U4 snRNA) is a component of the major U2-dependent spliceosome. The structure of U4 snRNA from yeast and human has been reported.
Source: RNAcentral